Molecule: transfer RNA, 73 nt
Filed under: Inoviridae sp.
Lineage: Floreoviria; Loebvirae; Hofneiviricota; Faserviricetes; Tubulavirales; Inoviridae
Also listed under: 1 other name
Description: tRNA-Phe
Rfam family: tRNA
About the family: Transfer RNA (tRNA) molecules are approximately 80 nucleotides in length. Their secondary structure includes four short double-helical elements and three loops (D, anti-codon, and T loops). Further hydrogen bonds mediate the characteristic L-shaped molecular structure. tRNAs have two regions of fundamental functional importance: the anti-codon, which is responsible for specific mRNA codon recognition, and the 3' end, to which the tRNAs corresponding amino acid is attached (by aminoacyl-tRNA synthetases). tRNAs cope with the degeneracy of the genetic code in two manners: having more than one tRNA (with a specific anti-codon) for a particular amino acid; and 'wobble' base-pairing, i.e. permitting non-standard base-pairing at the 3rd anti-codon position.
Source: RNAcentral
GCUACGAUAGCUCAGUUGGUAGAGCGGAAGUUUGAAGAACUUCGCGUCAGUGGUUCGAUUCCAUUUCGUAGCA